AACGCGAAGAACCUUACCAGGGUUUGACAUCCGCGGACAUGCCAUGAAAGUGGUCCUUCCCCGCAAGGGGACCGCGAGACAGGUGUUGCAUGGUUGUCGUCAGCUCGUGUCGUGAGAUGUUGGGUUAAGUCCCGCAACGAGCGCAACCCUCACCCAAUGUUGCCAGCGUCAAGUCGGGCACUCUUUGGGAACUGCCCAUGUAAGUGGGAGGAAGGUGGGGAUGACGUCAAAUCGGCAUGGCCCUUACAUCCUGGGCUUGACACAUGCUACAAUGGCCGUUAAACAGAGCGACGCAAUACCGCGAGGUGGAGCCAAUCGCAAAAAUACGGUCUCAGUUCAGAUUGCAGGCUGCAACUCGCCUGCAUGAAGUUGGAAUCGCUAGUAACCGCAGGUCAGCUAAACUGCGGUGAAUACGUUCCCGGGCCUUGUACACACCGAGACGUA
This 444-nucleotide ribosomal RNA is filed under the name uncultured bacterium. RNAcentral describes it as "bacterial SSU rRNA". It matches the Rfam family "Bacterial small subunit ribosomal RNA", at positions 958 to 1398 of the family's 1533-position model. The record is from RNAcentral.